This is a long non-coding RNA of Gavialis gangeticus (Gharial), 550 nucleotides long. RefSeq lists it as uncharacterized. The record is from RefSeq and is a predicted model, not a curated record. NCBI's taxonomy places the organism in Eukaryota, Metazoa, Chordata, Crocodylia, Gavialidae. The transcript is spliced from 2 exons.
UUCCUCCUGACCCUGUGACCUUAGAUCCACAUAAGUACAGAAGCAGCACAAAGGAGCUGAAAGAAAAUAUACUUCUUUAUUGAAAGCAAAAUGGUGCAACCAACUUCUAGCAUAUGGAAGCAUUUCCACCCGGCAAGUUAUUCUAAAAAAAAAAAUGUGAUUUGCAAAUACUGUCAAAUGAAAUAUGCAUUUCCAAAUGCUACUAGGAUGACCGUACACAUCCUUGUAUGUAAAAAGUGUCCUGCAGAUAUUAAAAAAAUCCUUCAUGGGUGUAAGUGAGGAGGUAGAUCACGAUGAUGAAAGUGCAAGUAGCUCUUUCCAACAUUCUUGAUCCAGCAGUCCUUCAGCUGCUGCUGCUUUUUCUAUAACGUCAGCAUCACAAAGGGUUGCCCAAUCAACAUCCUCAAGUAACCAAAUAUUACAGCCAAAUGUAUACAAAAGACCUUCAAUAGUUUCAUUUGUAGACAAGAUGACACCUGAAGAUCAGGAAAAAAUUGACCAAGCUCUUGAAAGAGCAAUCUAGUCUUCUGGGAUGCUAUUGUCAAUAACU